Molecule: ribosomal RNA, 469 nt
Filed under: uncultured bacterium
Lineage: Bacteria
Description: partial 16S ribosomal RNA
Rfam family: Bacterial small subunit ribosomal RNA
Source: RNAcentral
GACGAACGCUGGCGGCGUGCUUAACACAUGCAAGUCGAACGGAAAGGCCCUGCUUGCAGGGUGCUCGAGUGGCGAACGGGUGAGUAACACGUGGGUGAUCUGCCCCUUACUUUGGGAUAAGCCUGGGAAACUGGGUCUAAUACUGGAUAGGACCAUGCUGUAGGUGGUGUGGUGGAAAGAUUAGUUUCGGUAAGGGAUGAGCUCGCGGCCUAUCAGCUUGUUGGUGGGGUAAUGGCCUACCAAGGCGUCGACGGGUAGCCGGCCUGAGAGGGUGGACGGCCACAUUGGGACUGAGGUACGGCCCAGACUCCUACGGGAGGCAGCAGUGGGGAAUAUUGCACAAUGGGCGCAAGCCUGAUGCAGCGACGCCGCGUGGGGGAUGACGGCCUUCGGGUUGUAAACUCCUUUCAGCCAUGACGAAGCCCUUGUGGUGACGGUAGUGGUAGAAGAAGCACCGGCUAACUACGUG